GGUGAACGCUGGCGGCAUGGCUAAGGCAUGCAAGUCGAACGUUUCUCGCAAGAGAAGCGUGGCAGACGGGAGAGUAACACAUUGGUAAUCUGCCUCUAUCUUGGGUAUAACCCGGAGAAAUCUGGGAUAAUCCCCAAUAGUCAUGGGGGGACAUAUGUCAUUCCCAUGUAAAGUUCCGACGGAUAGAGAGGAGCCUAUGGCCCAUCAGCUUGUUGGUAAGGUAAUGGCCUACCAAGGCUACGACGGGUAGCAGGUGUGAGAGCAUGACCUGCCCCACUGGGACUGAGACACUGCCCAGACUCCUACGGGUGGCAG
RNAcentral lists this ribosomal RNA (315 nucleotides) under uncultured Parcubacteria group bacterium. RNAcentral describes it as "bacterial SSU rRNA". It matches the Rfam family "Bacterial small subunit ribosomal RNA", at positions 28 to 351 of the family's 1533-position model. The record is from RNAcentral.